This 799-nucleotide ribosomal RNA is filed under the name uncultured bacterium. RNAcentral's name for it is "bacterial SSU rRNA". It matches the Rfam family "Bacterial small subunit ribosomal RNA", at positions 56 to 849 of the family's 1533-position model. The record is from RNAcentral.
UGCAAGUCGAGCGGCAGCGCGGGGGCAACCCUGGCGGCGAGCGGCGAACGGGUGAGUAACACAUCGGAACGUACCCUGUCGUGGGGGAUAGCCCGGCGAAAGCCGGAUUAAUACCGCAUACGACCUGAGGGUGAAAGCGGGGGAUCGCAAGACCUCGCGCGAUAGGAGCGGCCGAUGGCGGAUUAGCUAGUUGGUGAGGUAAAGGCUCACCAAGGCGACGAUCCGUAGCUGGUCUGAGAGGACGACCAGCCACACUGGAACUGAGACACGGUCCAGACUCCUACGGGAGGCAGCAGUGGGGAAUUUUGGACAAUGGGGGCAACCCUGAUCCAGCCAUUCCGCGUGAGUGAAGAAGGCCUUCGGGUUGUAAAGCUCUUUCGGCAGGAACGAAACGGUGGAGGCUAAUACCUUUCAUCAAUGACGGUACCUGAAGAAGAAGCGCCGGCUAACUACGUGCCAGCAGCCGCGGUAAUACGUAGGGUGCGAGCGUUAAUCGGAAUUACUGGGCGUAAAGCGUGCGCAGGCGGUUCUAUAAGACAGAUGUGAAAUCCCCGGGCUUAACCUGGGAACUGCGUUUGUGACUGUAGGACUGGAGUGUGGCAGAGGGGGGUGGAAUUCCACGUGUAGCAGUGAAAUGCGUAGAGAUGUGGAGGAACACCGAUGGCGAAGGCAGCCCCCUGGGUUAACACUGACGCUCAUGCACGAAAGCGUGGGGAGCAAACAGGAUUAGAUACCCUGGUAGUCCACGCCCUAAACGAUGCGAACUAGGUGUUGGAGAAGGAGACUUCUUUAGUACCGU